AAAUGCAGAUGACAGGAGCAGAGACGGAGGCCACUGGGCACAGGAGAGAUUUGGGAUGGAGAGCUGGUGAGCCUUUCUCUGUUCUCCACAUCUGAAAGUCUGGCUUUAGGCACAAUAUUUAUGAACUUUAGCAAUAUGCACAAAUCAAAUGAGCUGAAAAAUCAGACCAGGCAGAUAAAAGUAAAAUCAUCUUACUGAAAUUCCUGGAAACAACAGUUUCAGCCAUUUGACAUAUAAACUAGAAGAUUUGGUGCCCAGCAUGAAGAAUAGUUCCUUUCAAGUACCUGUAUGUCCUGAAUGUAUUCCUUCCAGUGGGUUCUUGGUCUCGCUGACUUCAAGAAUGAAGCCUUGGACCCUCGUGAUAUGUGCUCACCCUUCUCUGCUCAGCUCUGUGCCUGGGAGGCUGACCUCUACAAACUGCAUCACCAGGCUUCCGCCCUCUGGCUUCCAGAUGGAUUUGGCCAAUGGGCAGCACCAGUGGGAAAGGAGAGGACAGGAGGAGAGACAGGCUGAGGCCUCCCUCCUCCUGUGUCCCUGACAUACAGUGACAGUGCUGCCCUGCAGCUCAGGAUGGAUGCAGUCAAGGACGACAGCGCAUGUCCAAAAAAGCUGUCUGCUGAACAUUUGCCCAGCAGAUUUUAGAAAGAAAGGAAACAUCUUAGUGAUUUUCUUGCCUCCAGAAGAUUCCCUGAUCCAAUCUUUCCUUGGCACAAACUUUUAGUUAUUGUGUUUACAUAUACAUUUUAUAUAUGUGUGGUCAUUAUUGUAUCUGUUUUAUUUGGGGACUUUAUCUUGAUGUGUGUUAUACCUAAUACACUGCAAUAUAAAUUAUGUAAUUA
This is a long non-coding RNA of Homo sapiens (human), 839 nucleotides long. Ensembl annotates it as long intergenic non-protein coding RNA 1621. NCBI's taxonomy places the organism in Eukaryota, Metazoa, Chordata, Mammalia, Primates, Hominidae. The record is from Ensembl.